Molecule: ribosomal RNA, 516 nt
Filed under: uncultured bacterium
Lineage: Bacteria
Description: partial 16S ribosomal RNA
Rfam family: Bacterial small subunit ribosomal RNA
Source: RNAcentral
GACGAACGCUGGCGGCAUGCCUAAUACAUGCAAGUCGAGCGGAGUUGAUGGAAAGCUUGCUUUCCUGAUACUUAGCGGCGGACGGGUGAGUAACACGUAGGCAACCUGCCCUCAAGCUUGGGACAACUACCGGAAACGGUAGCUAAUACCGAAUACUUGUUUUCUUCGCCUGGAGAGAACUGGGAAGACGGAGCAAUCUGUCUGUUGGGGAUGGGCCUGCGGCGCAUUAGCUAGUUGGUGAGGUAAUGGCUCACCAAGGCGACGAUGCGUAGCCGACCUGAGAGGGUGAUCGGCCACACUGGGACUGAGACACGGCCCAGACUCCUACGGGAGGCAGCAGUAGGGAAUCUUCCGCAAUGGGCGAAAGCCUGACGGAGCAAUGCCGCGUGAGUGAUGAAGGUUUUCGGAUCGUAAAGCUCUGUUGCCAGGGAAGAACGCUUCGGAGAGUAACUGCUCCCAAGGUGACGGUACCUGAGAAGAAAGCCCCGGCUAACUACGUGCCAGCCGCCGCGGUAA